Molecule: long non-coding RNA, 4659 nt
Filed under: Acanthaster planci (crown-of-thorns starfish)
Lineage: Eukaryota; Metazoa; Echinodermata; Asteroidea; Valvatida; Acanthasteridae
Description: uncharacterized LOC110975637
Source: RNAcentral
UUGGACGCUUUGAAGUGCCUGAGUUACAACUCCUUCUGUGUCCUUCCUCCAUGGUCGAAUUUACUAAUAACAACUUAAACUACAACUCAAAUAACAAAAAAAACUAAUACAGUCAUGAAAUAAAUUAUCCUUACAUGUGCAAUAACUUAUUUUCAUUUUAAUGACAGGUUGUGACCUUCAACUAUGGUUGUAAAACACAUAAUCCAAUUGACAAGGUACGGUUCUACACCAAGGAUAACCCCGAUAAGGGAAUAAAACUUCCAAAGGAUGAGGUUUCAACGAUGUUACCUGAGAAAUUUCAAGAAAAGCAGAUCCGUGUCUACUACAAGGGGAUCGAUGAAAAUGAAAAAAUCCAAAACGCCAAAAGGUGCUUCAAGGAAUGGAAGGAACUUGAACGCGAAAAGCAGGUAUGUGAAUCCACCCAACAGAGGAAAAGUAUAGCUUGGAAAAUAUAUGACAAAUUACCCCCGGGAGGGAGAGCCUGGAUAUGUAGGCCUGUGAAGUCGUUACAAAUGGACAAUCAAUCUGUGACAUUAAGGACGAAAAACUCUUACAUUUUAUAAAUAAUAUGGCUUCUUUGUAUACUCUUUAUGCACAUGCGUUUUAUGUGUAGAUAAAAAAUCCCCCAAUUUCCCUUCCAAGAAAAUUUUGAUUAUGAAUUCUCCUUCCAAGAAAGUUUGGAUUACACCUAUUUAAAAAAAACGUCAGCGGAUGUAAACAAUAAUUAUCUGAAUCUCAAGCCACCAUGUACUUUUAUUAGUUCUGCAGUAUGGUCUCUUGCUGGUCACUAUAUUUCUGUACCGGGUACUGGACACUUCACUGUGGAUUUUAUAGUGGGAUACUAGAUGGGAAAGCCUAAGCGCUAUACGUUUCUUGAAAGUCUGAUCCAAGACUGUGAAUUAAAUUAUAGACAGGUUGGAUGGCUGUUAUCACAGGCUAUAAUACAAAGCUGAGUUAACAAUUAGAGGUAAUGGAGAUUAAAUUAACUUUGAUAGGUCAAACCAAAACCUAUUAGAGUAAGUUAUGGUAAAACAGUUGAUAAAACCGUUCUUUGCAGGAUAACGAAAGGAAAGCCAACCCGGAGACACCAAUGAAGAAGGAAAAACCUCGUGAUCGUGAUGCGCCAAGUCAUGACGCAAAAAGGAAUUUAGACUUUGACAACAAAGACGAAGGAACAACCUCGGGAUCCGCCUCAAAAUAAAGCACAAAGGAGAUUAGAGUUUCCUGACCAAACUGACGUUUUCAUCCUAUGUAACCAAAUACCGGGGUUGAUGUUGUGUUUUUGUUUAUGGUUUAGAAUAUAUGGUUGUACAGAGACAUUUCUUCGGGUGAAUGUAUCAUCAACAUAGCGAAUGUAACGUUUAUUACGAUGUACAUGUAAGCCAUCACUCAAUAAUAGUAUAUAUCCUCUGUAUGUAGGGUUUUUUCUGUUGGUUUCUUUUUGGUCACAAUUUCAUCGCUAAUUGACACCUGGGACUAAAUCGAAGGGAAUUAAUCAAGCCACAGUUGCCUCGGCUGCCUUGAGGCAGUAUGUAUACUAUUUGGAUAUUAAGUUAAUGUUGUCAGAAUAAGUAAUUCAGACAUUGAGGGGUUCCCAGCCCUCUCCUCACUUUGUCAAUGAAUCACUUUCUUGAAAGCAUUCACGGUGUAAUCAUAGAGUCACCUCCAUGCAUAGUAUAACUGUCAGCAAAGGUAUACGAACGGUGCCAGUGAUGACUGCCAUGUUCCGAAGGUCAAUUAUGAAAAGUUAUCAUGUGGACAAAUACUCAGCGUUUCAUUCAUUGCUAACGAAUCUACAUUCAUUUGCCAUUGGUUAGGUCUAUAUUUUAUUUGGUACAAAAACGUCGUUGUGGUUUUCAAACAAGAAAGACAUGGCCUUCUCACUAUAACUCCAACUUAAGACGGCACAUCGACUUAAUUUCACAGUUGAGCAUUUUGUUUGUCCAUUCUUCUUUCAUGUCGGUACCGUAAUGAGAUAAUGAGGAACUGUCUCUGUCAGACAGUCAAAUGGUGUACUGAGGUUUGGUUCAUGAGGAGAAAAGUAGCUUAGCGACACAGAUUUUGGUUUUCUAGACAUGUUUUAUUAUGUAUAUCUAAGCACACACUACCGAUUAGAAGAAAGUUUAGUAAAUGUUUCGCUACUAUCUUGAAACUUUAUAUCUGUCUUAUCCGAUCUCGACUGGAUUACUCUUGUAUAGCCUGGGAUGGGCUCAAUCAUUCUUCAGUUGUAGAAUGCUUUCAAAACCAGAGUGUCAAAUUUAUUUGUAAAGACUGGCAUACUAACUAUAAUACCGACAGAUUAAUCAUUUAAGCUGGACUGGUCUCUGAACUACAAGAAUCUUUUCCGUUUGGUUUUGUGUUUUAAAAUUUUGAAUGGCCUUACGGACAUUAAUGCCCUAUACAAGUUUCAACCGGCCUUCAGAAUAGGGCAAAACGAUAACAGUCUUAAACUACACAUUAAUUUUGCCCGUACUAACUAUUGUAAAUAUUCAUUUUUUUCGUCAGUACUGCUAAUGAGUGUUAUAGUCCACCUGAGCAUGUUAUCCAGUCUACAUCUUCAAACAUGUUCAAAAGCUCUCUCCUUGAAUUAUUGACUUGGUGAUUUUUCAUUUGUUUUGAUUUUGCUUUCUACCAUAAAAUCUUAUAGUUAUUUGAUAUUUUUUUCUUUUUCUUAUACAAACUUCUCAUAUUUUGUACAGUUUUCCUUGAAUGUGGCAUAUCUUAAAUAAUCUUCUUCAUUUUUACUAACUACUGGUUUUACUGUGUUCGUUUGUCGUUUUAACUUUUGAAUUGAACGCAUUUUUAUAUUAAAAUUUUGUUUCAUUUCUUUCGUCUGUUCAUGUUAUCCUUGUAUAUGAUUCUUUUUUCACAUAUAUUUUAACAUUUACUCGUUCUGUUUAUUUUUUCGGGGAGUGGUUUAAGAUGGUCUGUACGGUCUCUGUCACGACCCCUGACAUUGUCAGAAAUAAAUAAUGAUAAUUAUGGAGGACGAAAAGUGGUCAUCUGCUUUUCUGCUUUCGAGCAGACAGAAAUAUGAAUCGAACAUUUUGACGACAACCGUGAAUUCAACUUUUCUGCUUUUGUGGUACCGGAAAAGCAUAUUUUACACAGGUGGCCGAAAAGUGGCCAUAAAUAAUAGUAGUAAUAAUGUAGUAAUAAUAAUACUGAAUACCUUAUAUGUGACGCGAGUGGACGUGUGUCAACGAUUCCACAGCUUACCUACAACUUAUGGCCCGCGUAUAUCUGUGGGACGUAUGAACCAUACGCUGGCAUAGGUCGAAAACUUUAUGCAUGCAUGCACAAAAGUUUUCGACGACCUCGCCAUUCUAAUAAGUAUACCAGCGUACUUCAUUGUUCUCUUAACUUCUAGAGCAUGCGAUGCUCAAAUCCUGAAACACUGAAAGACGCUCUCUCAACAGUACAGCGCGAAGAAGAUAUUUUAAAAGCUGAAGCUAGUACGACAUGCACGCCAACAAUUGCUUCGCUACAUAAGUAAACUGGAAGUUUACAGGAGCCACAUUCAGCGGCGCCAGUUACUGCUGAUGGAAAUAGUAGUGGACUUGAACAGACAGUAUAAGAAAAAAAAAACAUCAAAAUUAUUCAAGGUCUGUUAGAAACUCUUCAAUGUAAAAAUCGGAAAUGUUUCAAAUGGAGAAACCAGGUCACAUUCGUAGGUUUCGCUAUAACAAAGGGCAUCCAAAACCAAACGUCUUACUAGAUUGGAACCUUGCUGAAAAACGAACAAUGAGUCGUUAAUCUAGAUGAGGUUUGUCGUGGAGUCGAUGGUUCAACCGCCCAUUGUGAAAAAGGGUGAAUCCGCAACCAGUUUGUAUGUAAUACAAAUGCCUAUCGAUACUGGCUUAUCGUACUUGGUCCUUCAUCCACGAAUUUUUCAACUAUUCCGAACAACAAAGAACAGAAACAAAUUAAACCAUGUAAUUUGUCAAUGGUUACGGCUUAUGGAACGUUGAUUAAAAUACAUUGGUAAAUUUCAUCAUGCUUAAAAAUAGGCAGGCUAGAAACUAUGCUUCACUUUGUUGUAGCCAACAUCAGUCCAGCAGGUAUUCUUGUAAUGGAUUUCUCGGAUCGUCGAAUGUUUGAUCAUUCUAGUACAUAUUAGACCUACCUGGCAAUAGAUGGUGUAACAAUACACAUUGUCAGAGAUGACAAUUCCCCCCUAUUGUUGCACUGUUGUAGAUUGCACUGUAACCUUACAUCCCGGUCUUGUAAUUCCUGGUAAAGUAAGGACAAAAAAUACAGUUAAUACUUUAGGCCUUGUUGAACCAACUUGUAACGUAGGCCCGUUGGAGACAGAGAAAUAUUUUUUUAGUCUGUUCCUUGGUACAUACUGUGACGGGCACAAACUUUACGUUUAGUAAUAAGAACACCAACUGUUCGAUUCGGGUAAGUGAGAAAGCAGAGUUAUCCAUAUUUUGCAUGUAGCGGGAUCCCGAUUGCUGAUUGGUCCAUGGGACUAUGUACUGUAGUAUAGACAAAUACCAAUUAGCCUACUGGGGAUGAAAGUGUAUAAAAUGCGCUUAAGUUUUAGGGGGAUGAUUUAAUCCUUCUGUGAUUAAACCAAUAAUAUUACAAGUGCUCUUGAUUUGAAUGGUAUGGCUGUUAAGGGAGAAUUAUUAAAGGCAUGACCACUGUUCCUGA